This is a long non-coding RNA of Neopsephotus bourkii (Bourke's parrot), 420 nucleotides long. RefSeq lists it as uncharacterized. The record is from RefSeq and is a predicted model, not a curated record. NCBI's taxonomy places the organism in Eukaryota, Metazoa, Chordata, Aves, Psittaciformes, Psittacidae. The transcript is spliced from 3 exons.
AAUCCUUCUAACCUUCCAUCUCUCAUCGUGUGUUGAAGCUGGGGGAGAGAAAGCUUUCUUGAAACUUGCCAGGUAAAAGGGGAGCAUCCUGGCUCGGGUGGGGAAAGAGAUAGCCAUAAAUUACUGAACUUGCAUACAGGUUUUGAUUUACUUUAUCUUGGCCAAGACAAGUAACAGUUGUGGACUGCAGGUGUCCUAGGAAACUGGCCAAGUGUUGGCCAUCCUGUGUACCCGGAAAGGAGUGCUGUAAGCACUUCAUGUCUUAAGUGCCUGCUCACAUGUGCAUUUGGGAAACAUUUGUGUGCUCUUUUACAUUGUCAAAUCUAAAUGUAUAAACCCAAGAUAAAACCUCAAAUGUAAAGGUUUUAAAUGUUCUAAAUUGAGGUACCUUAAUGUAGACCAGCAAAUCAGUGAUUUUGA